This is a non-coding RNA of Cricetulus griseus (Chinese hamster), 2722 nucleotides long. The record is from RefSeq and is a predicted model, not a curated record. NCBI's taxonomy places the organism in Eukaryota, Metazoa, Chordata, Mammalia, Rodentia, Cricetidae.
UCAAAGGGCUGUGAACCAUGAGUGCCAAAGGACUGUGAGAAAGAAAAAUUACAGACUUGGAAAGAAAUUCCAACAGUGUACUAAGAAGACAAUGACUGAAGGGCUCUCUCAGAAUAAUGGCAAGCGUCCCAAAAUUACAGGAAACACAUAACAAUCAAAGAUGAAUCAGACAGUCUCUAAAUAUCUUAACAAGAAGAUAACCGUCAUACUGCUUACUCCCAGCUGUCUGAGUUUACCGACGGGUGCAUACUCUUCUGCCAGUUUUACAGAAGGGGAAAUCACGGUACCCUUGUCAUAACCUCAGCCUCAAGGAGUGAGCCAAUGUGAGCACUGUAUGCAGUCAAGUCCUUGGGUGGCCUCAGCUGCACAGAGAAUCACAUGAAGCAGAGCCACACAAUCAAACCAGUAAGCAUGUAAGAUAAACUAAAUAACCAAUUUCAUCAUCUUAAGCCAUCAAGUUUUGGGGAUGGUUUGUUAUGGACCAAUAAAUACAUGUUAGGGCUUGGAGACGGUUCAGGGGAUAAAGGCACUUGCCAACAAGUUUGAUGGCUUAGAUCCAGGGACCCGCAUGGUGGAAGGAAAGAACCAACUCCAGCAAGUUGUCCAAUGAGCUCCACCUGUGUGGCCUGGCAUUCUGCCAGUGGCAUGUAUACACAUAUGCAUACCAAGUAAAUAAAGUUUUUUUAAAAAAAGGAAACUGAAAUGUCUUUGGGGAAAGAUGGAUUUCAAAAGCAAAUGUAUGGGGGAAAUACUAUUGGUGUCUAAACAUAAUAAAUGUUAAAAUGCCCUCAAUUUACUAACAGUGCUUUUAGAAACCAUUUAAAAUUAGCAUCUUAAUUAUUUUUUAAAAGGGGGAGUAAGGAAUGAACAAGAAAAUUAAAUAGAAGACUUGAAAAUGAAUUAGAAAUUAGCCAUAUAUAUGUGUGUGUGGAUAUAUAUACCUUUACAUGUAUAUAUAUGAAGUAAUGGUCAAAGAAGUGAAAAAUGCUUUUAAAACUACAUACAUUUCUGGCAGGCUAGCUCGGUAAAAAUAAAUCAGCUUGUCCAUGGGAUUGGAAAAACGUUCCUUGUCAGAUUGAGUAGGGCUGUCAUUCCUGACACAUUUCUAGGAGGACACACUCUGCACCCAAAUUGGAGAUCAUAUGCCUUUUAUUCUAACAAUUCCGGAGAAUCUUAAGGAAAUGAUUAAACUUGUGUAUAAAGGUAUGUAGCAACAUUCCAAAAAUGUCUUGUUUUGAUUUUGAGGUAGUUUCACUCUGUAGCCUGUGCUCACCUUGAAUUUAGGAUCAACGGUCUCCAUUAGGAACGGAACACAAGGAUGGAGCGAUGCGGUUUCCCACAGUGACCACUAGAUGGCAGACGUAUCCCCAGCCAACUUUUCCUCGGAGGCUCCCCAUGAACUUCAUUAGCUAGGAAGGCCUCUGUGUGAAGUCUCAGUAGCUGAGGGGGGUCUUAAUCAAGAAGGCCUGGUGACAGGAGAGCCGCAGAAGGCUCUAGCAGAAGGCUCUAACUCUUCCUGAUACUUCAUACAAUGUAUCCAUCUGCCGUUAAUGGCUACCCCAGCCUUUACUGGAGGAUGCUGCAUACGUGCUCCCACAGGCUAUGCACUGCACAGCACCCAAGGACUCACUGAUUUCAUAUGAGAAGAACCUACUAGACAGAGCUUUACUCAACCAGUAAAACUAUCAAGAUCAUCCACAAAAUGAUGGCCCAUCUUUUUCCUACCCAAGGUGAGGGCGUGUGACCUAAACCAAGCAUGUCAUGAGUCUGAACUUGAACCGUGAGCAGAAUGGGAGACUGAUUCGUCCUGGCAUGGGUGCUGUAAAGAUUGCCCGUGAUCCCUGCUACAUGGGUCUCCAGGGCUCUGCUGGUCCUGGGCCUUCCUAACACCCAGAGAUACUUUCUGUGGCCGGCAAACAAGGAUCCCCUGUGAGUCGUCUACACUUCAGACUUGCUAAGAUGGGAGCUAAAUCUCUGAGAGGGCUCUGUGUUAGGGCAAAGGCAAGUCUUCAUUCACUGAACGCUCACUUAUUAAUCCCAUCAACUUUCCAGAGACCUGUUCUGGGCCCAGCCCUGCUCUAUUAUGUUUAUUUAUUUAUUUAUUUAUUAAAAUACUUUAAUUUAUUCUUGGGGAAUUACAAAUGCAUCACAAAUCCAAUUAGUGAUGCCAGUAAGUGCAUAGUGGGGGGCCGUCCAUUGGAGUAUGGGCAACCCCCCAAGAGCCACAACCCUGAAGAAAAAGGACCCCCCCCCAGUAGCCAUUGGCUGCUAAUAGCUCCUCAACUAGGAGUGAGGCCUUGUGUGUCCCUCCCCAAUCCAUUCCAGAAUGUUGAUACGUUUAUUUUGUGUAGGCAACCACAGCUGCUGUGAGUUCAGGAGUGCAAGUGUGUGUGUGUGGGUAUGUACACACACAUGAUCCUCUGUGCACCUCUGGGAACAUGGGCAGCACAGCACACAUGCAGAGGUCAGAGGACAGCCUCUGGUGCCGGUUUUCACCUUCCCCUUGAUUGAGGCUGACUCUCCCCCUUUUCUGCUGUGUGCUCUGGGCUAGCUGUAAUUCUAGCACUUGGGAGGUAGAAGCAAGAGGAUCAAGAAGUUCAAGGUUGCCCUUGCCUAUAUAGUGCGUUUGAGGGCAGCCUGUGUUAGUAUUUAGGCAUCUGUACUGGCCUGUCCUUGGGGUUCUGACAGGAUGCGCCCUCAGCUGCAGACACUAAGAGCACCA